Molecule: unclassified non-coding RNA, 980 nt
Filed under: Hevea brasiliensis (rubber tree)
Lineage: Eukaryota; Viridiplantae; Streptophyta; Magnoliopsida; Malpighiales; Euphorbiaceae
Source: RNAcentral
UAACAUUAAAAGAUCUAGAUUACCACAUCAGAAGAAAUCAACACAAAUAGAAACUCAACAACUCAUAAAAUCAACAAAACUAGAAAAAGAAGGGCAUCCAAACUCAAAAAAAAUCAACAAAUUCACAAAUCUAGAAAAUCGAGGCAUAUGGCUUUGCUACAAAGUUGUUGGACUCCAGCCUCAUUGGAGCAUUAUCGAAGCACAGACUCCAGUGGUGGUUCGAGUUCUCAAGAAAUUUGAGGGUAUGCUAUUACUGUAAUCGUUCAACGUCACUUUCACCACCCAAAGAACUCACUGGAGCUAGAGGCUAUGGAGGGUUUGGCUGGAGUUGACUCUCACUCCAUCUUCAUCUGCUUCUUCAACUUAGAUUUCCCAGAGAAAUGAUUUGAUAAUCCCCUCUUGAAAUCACAAAAUUUAUUUCCAAUUUGUUUAUAGCUUGAACCAAUUACCAUAAAAUUGAAGAUUAAAUGUAAAAGAGAAAUUUGUACAAGAAAACAAAUAUACUCAAAUCUUUUUUUAUUUCUUGAUCGCUAUCAUCUAGAGCUCAAAUAGACGACGAACUAUCCUAAGAAUCAUUUGGAGAUUUCUCAGGCUGUAUCCUACGAGAAAUCAAGCACUUGCUUCCACCAUCAUCAUCGUCCUCCUUCAAGAAGAUGGAAGGCGAACCAUGGUGUUUAACUUGUGAAGAAGGAACGAUGAACGACGAUGAGAUCAAGGAAUCUGGGAAAAUCGAAAUGAGUGUUUAGAAACUGACCAGUGGCAUUUGCAAAUCUAAAGCUUGUAACCAUUGCAAAUCUCUCUCUUCCUUAUAAAACAAUAUCAGAUCCAAUCGCGGAGGUCUCAAUGUCGUUAUAAACUGACUAUGAAUUCUCAAAAUCAUCUCCAUUGGAUCGCACAUCAUCACCAUGCAUAAAGAUAGCCACCUUGCCAUUGUCGAACACUAUUCACCCCAUUGCCAUAGUCAAACUUUACAUCUUCAA